GACAGAGGGUGCAAACGUUGUUCGGAUUUACUGGGCGUAAAGCGCGUGUAGGCGGCUUGGCAAGUCGGAUGUGAAAGCCCACGGCUCAACCGUGGAAGCGCAUCCGAAACGGCCUCGCUCGAGUCUCGGAGAGGAAGGUGGAAUGCUUGGUGUAGAGGUGAAAUUCGUAGAUAUCAAGCAGAACGCCUGCGGCGAAGGCGGCCUUCUGGACGAUGACUGACGCUGAGACGCGAAAGCGUGGGGAGCAAACAGG
This 253-nucleotide ribosomal RNA is filed under the name uncultured bacterium. Its description in RNAcentral is "partial 16S ribosomal RNA". It matches the Rfam family "Bacterial small subunit ribosomal RNA", at positions 524 to 776 of the family's 1533-position model. The record is from RNAcentral.